UCUUCACGAGCUUCUUUCUUCCUCUCCUCUCCUCUCCUCUCCUCUUCGCUACCUUAUUAGUUUUUUCUUCUCUUUACUCGUUUAUUUGGGGCUUUCCUAUUCAAGGGAGAGAUGGCAGAGCCAAAACCAACUACACCCUUGAUCUCACCAUCGUCAUCAAGAAACCUUCCUGAUUUCAAAAAAUCUGUGAAGCUAAAAUAUGUGAAAUUGGGUUACCAUUACCUCAUCUCCCAUGGAAUGUACCUUUUCCUUUCCCCUCUUGUAGUCCUAAUUGCUGCUCAGCUUUCAACAUUUUCUCUCCAAGAUUUUUAUACUCUUUGGGAGCAUCUACAGUACAAUCUCAUAUCUGUGAUAAUCUGCUCAUCACUACUUGUUUUCCUAAUUACACUCUAUUUUAUGACUCGUCCUCGGCCUGUAUACCUUGUCAACUUUCCUGCUACAAGCCUGCAGAAUCUCGU
This 458-nucleotide unclassified non-coding RNA is filed under the name Hevea brasiliensis (rubber tree). Lineage: Eukaryota; Viridiplantae; Streptophyta; Magnoliopsida; Malpighiales; Euphorbiaceae. The record is from RNAcentral.